Molecule: ribosomal RNA, 913 nt
Filed under: uncultured eukaryote
Lineage: Eukaryota
Description: SSU rRNA
Rfam family: Eukaryotic small subunit ribosomal RNA
Source: RNAcentral
AGCAGCCGCGGUAAUUCCAGCUCCAAUAGCGUAUACUAAAGUUGUUGCGGUUAAAAAGCUCGUAGUUGGAUCUUGGAAUGUGUUCAAGCGGGUCAGCUUCUGGCUGUGCGCUGCUUGACGUGUUCUUCUAUUUGGUUUUGGUGCGGUGCGCUUAACUGCGUGUCGCUCCCGGCCGAAACGUUUACCUUGAAAAAAUUAGAGUGUUCAAAGCAGACCUGUUUGAGUCUGAAUAUUCGUGCAUGGAAUAAUGAAAUAUGAAUUCGGUUCUAUUUUGUUGGUUUUCGGAACUCGAGUUAAUGAUCAAGAGGGACAGACGGGGGCAUUCGUACUCUGCCGUUAGAGGUGAAAUUCUUGGAUCGGCGGAAGACGCGCAACUGCGAAAGCAUUUGCCAAGAAUGUUUUCUUUAAUCAAGAACGAUAGUCGGAGGUUCGAAGACGAUCAGAUACCGUCCUAGUUUCGACUGUAAACUAUGCCAGCUAACGAUCAGACAGAGUUCUCUACGACUUGUCUGGCAGUUUCCGGGAAACCAAAGCGUUUGGGUUCCGGGGGAAGUAUGGUUGCAAAGCUGAAACUUAAAGGAAUUGACGGAAGGGCACCACCAGGAGUGGAGCCUGCGGCUUAAUUUGACUCAACACGGGGAAACUCACCCGGCCCGGACACAGUGAGGAUUGACAGAUUGAGAGUUCUUUCUUGAUUCUGUGGGUGGUGGUGCAUGGCCGUUCUUAGUUGGUGGAGCGAUUUGUCUGGUUAAUUCCGAUAACGAACGAGACUCUGGCAUGUUAAAUAGUCGCGGAAGUGCGUAUGCACUUGCCGAAUUGACUUCUUAGAGGGACUAGUGAUUUUAAUUCACACGAGAUUGAGCAAUAACAGGUCUGUGAUGCCCAAGGCGAUCGUUAACUUGCAGACUAGUUC